Long non-coding RNA from Harpegnathos saltator (Jerdon's jumping ant), 282 nucleotides. RefSeq lists it as uncharacterized. The record is from RefSeq and is a predicted model, not a curated record. The transcript has 2 exons. NCBI's taxonomy places the organism in Eukaryota, Metazoa, Arthropoda, Insecta, Hymenoptera, Formicidae.
CUCUCUCUCUCUCUCUCUCUCUUGCAGAAGGACUACAAGAAGACUUCAACAAGGGAGUAAGAAAAAACAAGGAGAAACAGUUACUGAAGAACCAUCAAAAUCUUUUCCCUAUUAGCGACAAACAACUUGUUUUAUUUGAGUCUCAUAACAGCGGGAUCAAGAUGUUACGAGUAUGUUGUCGAAGACAGCACCAUCGCAUAAAUUCCCACGAAAUGCUGAACAUAGGCUAUAAUGGUUCAAGAAUUUGAAAAUGGAGCCAGUGGAGGGACCUGAGGAGAAAAA